RNAcentral lists this ribosomal RNA (864 nucleotides) under uncultured bacterium. Its description in RNAcentral is "bacterial SSU rRNA". It matches the Rfam family "Bacterial small subunit ribosomal RNA", at positions 58 to 916 of the family's 1533-position model. The record is from RNAcentral.
CGAGUCGAGGGGCAGCAGGUCUGUAGCAAUACAGAUGCUGGCGACCGGCAAACGGGUGCGGAACACGUACAGAACCUUCCUUCGAGCGGGGAAUAGCCCAGAGAAAUUUGGAUUAAUACCCCAUAGUAUACUGAAGAGGCAUCUCUUUAGUAUUAAAGAUUUAUCACUUGAAGAUGGCUGUGCGGCUGAUUAGGUAGUUGGCGGGGUAAAGGCCCACCAAGCCUGCGAUCAGUAACUGGUGUGAGAGCACGACCAGUCACACGGGCACUGAGACACGGGCCCGACUCCUACGGGAGGCAGCAGUAAGGAAUAUUGGUCAAUGGACGAAAGUCUGAACCAGCCAUGCCGCGUGAAGGAUGAAGGUCCUCUGGAUUGUAAACUUCUUUUAUAUGGGACGAAAAAAGGGUUUUCUAACUCAACUGACGGUACCAUAUGAAUAAGCACCGGCUAACUCCGUGCCAGCAGCCGCGGUAAUACGGAGGGUGCAAGCGUUAUCCGGAUUCACUGGGUUUAAAGGGUGCGUAGGUGGGUUGGUAAGUCAGUGGUGAAAUCCCCGAGCUUAACUCGGGAACUGCCAUUGAUACUAUCAGUCUUGAAUACCGUGGAGGUCAGCAGAAUAUGUCAUGUAGCGGUGAAAUGCUUAGAUAUGACAUAGAAUACCAAUUGCGAAGGCAGCUGGCUACCCGAAUAUUGACACUGAGGCACGAAAGCGUGGGGAUCAAACAGGAUUAGAUACCCUGGUAGUCCACGCCCUAAACUAUGGAUACUCGACAUACGCGAUACACUGUGUGUGUCUGAGCGAAAGCAUUAAGUAUCCCACCUGGGAAGUACGACCGCAAGGUUGAAACUCAAAGGAAUUGGCGG